UGGGGAAUAUUGCACAAUGGGGGAAACCCUGAUGCAGCGACGCCGCGUGAGCGAAGAAGGUUUUCGAAUCGUAAAGCUCUGUCCUAUGGGAAGAUAAUGACGGUACCAUAGGAGGAAGCCCCGGCUAACUACGUGCCAGCAGCCGCGGUAAUACGUAGGGGGCAAGCGUUGUCCGGAAUCACUGGGCGUAAAGGGUUCGCAGGCGGAAAUGCAAGUCAGUUGUGAAAGGCAGAGGCUCAACCUCUGUAAGCAAUUGAAACUGUAUUUCUUGAGAUGUGGAGAGGCAAGUGGAAUUCCUAGUGUAUCGGUGAAAUGCGUAGAUAUUAGGAAGAAUACCGGUGGCGAAGGCGACUUGCUGGACACAAACUGACGCUGAGGAACGAAAGCGUGGGUAGCAAACAGG
Molecule: ribosomal RNA, 403 nt
Filed under: Fusobacteriota bacterium
Lineage: Bacteria; Fusobacteriati; Fusobacteriota
Description: Fusobacteria bacterium partial 16S ribosomal RNA
Rfam family: Bacterial small subunit ribosomal RNA
Source: RNAcentral